This 274-nucleotide ribosomal RNA is filed under the name uncultured bacterium. Its description in RNAcentral is "partial 16S ribosomal RNA". It matches the Rfam family "Bacterial small subunit ribosomal RNA", at positions 523 to 796 of the family's 1533-position model. The record is from RNAcentral.
AUACGGAGAGUGCAAGCGUUGUUCGGAAUUACUGGGCGUAAAGAGCAUGUAGGCGGCCUAGUCAGUCUGGUGUGAAAGCCCGGGGCUCAACCCCGGAAGUGCAUUGGAUACUGCUAGGCUUGAGUACUGGAGGGGAAAGCGGAAUUCCGAGUGUAGAGGUGAAAUUCGUAGAUAUUCGGAGGAACACCUGUGGCGAAGGCGGCUUUCUGGACAGAUACUGACGCUGAGAUGCGAAAGCGUGGGGAGCAAACAGGAUUAGAUACCCCAGUAGUCC